RNAcentral lists this ribosomal RNA (253 nucleotides) under uncultured bacterium. RNAcentral describes it as "partial 16S ribosomal RNA". It matches the Rfam family "Bacterial small subunit ribosomal RNA", at positions 524 to 776 of the family's 1533-position model. The record is from RNAcentral.
UACGUAGGAGGCAAGCGUUGUCCGGAAUCACUGGGCGUAAAGCGCGUGUAGGCGGAUCGCUAAGUCUGUUGUGAAAGCGCCUGGCUUAACCGGGCGAGGUCGAUGGAAACUAGCGGUCUGGAGGCCGGUAGAGGGGGGUGGAAUUCCGGGUGUAGUGGUGAAAUGCGUAGAGAUCCGGAGGAACACCAGUGGCGAAGGCGGCCCCCUGGGCCGCGCCUGACGCUGAGACGCGAAAGCGAGGGGAGCGAACGGG